Molecule: ribosomal RNA, 736 nt
Filed under: uncultured Campylobacterota bacterium
Lineage: Bacteria; Pseudomonadati; Campylobacterota
Also listed under: 1 other name
Description: bacterial SSU rRNA
Rfam family: Bacterial small subunit ribosomal RNA
Source: RNAcentral
AGUGAACGCUGGCGGCGUGCUUAACACAUGCAAGUCGAACGAGAACGGAUUAUAGCUUGCUAUAAUUGUCAGCUAAGUGGCGCACGGGUGAGUAAUGUAUAGAUAACCUGCCCUUAAGAAAGGAAUAACAGUUGGAAACGACUGCUAAUGCCCUAUAUGCCUUUAAUACAUAAGUAUGCAAGGGAAACGCUUUAGUGCUUAAGGAUGGGUCUGUAUGGUAUCAGCUUGUUGGUGAGGUAAUGGCUCACCAAGGCUAUGACGCCUAACUGGUUUGAGAGGAUGAUCAGUCACACUGGAACUGAGACACGGUCCAGACUCCUACGGGAGGCAGCAGUGGGGAAUAUUGCACAAUGGACGAAAGUCUGAUGCAGCAACGCCGCGUGGAGGAUGACACAUUUCGGUGCGUAAACUCCUUUUAUAUAGGAAGAUAAUGACGGUACUAUAUGAAUAAGCACCGGCUAACUCCGUGCCAGCAGCCGCGGUAAUACGGAGGGUGCAAGCGUUACUCGGAAUCACUGGGCGUAAAGAGCGUGUAGGCGGGUAUAUAAGUCAGAAGUGAAAUCCAAUAGCUCAACUAUUGAACUGCUUUUGAAACUGUAUACCUAGAAUGUGGGAGAGGUAGAUGGAAUUUCUGGUGUAGGGGUAAAAUCCGUAGAGAUCAGAAGGAAUACCGAUUGCGAAGGCGAUCUACUGGAACAUUAUUGACGCUGAGACGCGAAAGCGUGGGGAGCAAACA